Molecule: long non-coding RNA, 2479 nt
Filed under: Equus caballus (horse)
Lineage: Eukaryota; Metazoa; Chordata; Mammalia; Perissodactyla; Equidae
Description: lncRNA (ENSECAG00000030520.3)
Source: RNAcentral
UUAAUUCUAACUUAUCUUUCUCUGUUGCUGGUGUUUAUAGAGGUGUUUCUAGAACCCUAAUGUCAUUGUUGCCUCUGCCUUUUCCAGUCAUUCUAGAAUUGUCUUGUUAAGCAAGAAUUAAACUUGGAUAGAAAAUCAGCUUCUACCUUAAUAACAAGCAGAGCUCUGCAUUUCUCUAACAUUGUGACAUCAUGGCAAGAGUGGCAGGAGAGAAGAUGUAUGUUCAGAGGCAGCCUGAGCUGCCUGUGUUCCCAAGGCAUCCUUUCUAAGGAAUCCAGGCCAAGGUCACCACCACCACACGUGCUUUCUGUGGCAGCCUCAUAGCAGAGAUGUCAUUGGCAAUGUUGAGCCUUCUGAAGAGGAAAAGACAGCCAGCGCUUCUGUUGUUCUCAUAUUCUGCAUAUUUUAUUGCCUUCACCAAUGGAUGGCAACACAAAGUUUUGUGCACCAUCUCCUCAGUCAGAGAUAUUCCUGGGUGGCAGUAAUAAGAAGUGCUUACCUGUUCUCAUUCAGCCUCUUCAAAACAGGAUCUACUGAUUGUUAAUACAGUGGUGCCUCUGCCGUUUCAUAAAGGUCAUUCUGUCACAAAUCUUGUCUGCAGAGGCUCAUUCAGCUAAAGACUCCACAAAACUUGGCUUCACCUCUGCUCAUUUCAACAGUUUAGUGAAGAAAUGACACGUCAUCUGAUUAUCUGAUGCUAUAGCCAGUGGUUUAAGUUUAUGAUCUCAUCGUCAACUUAACAAAGAUGUCAUAGACUUUUCUGAUUGUAAAAUGAAUGGCUAUCCAGGAGUGAAGGAUUGCUCCAUUCCACAUCCUUACUUUCUUGACCUUUGGGCUUUGGUGGGACCUUUGAAAGCAUUUGACAAUGUACCCAAAUUUGUAAAUUAACAAAGUCUCAGAGACCCUUAAGUGACAAGGCAUACAGUGAUCGUAAACAUACCCUAAUUGAAACCUUUUGUAUUGGUAAAUGAGAAAAUGAGGUUCAGAGAUAUUACACUAUUAUAAAGAGAAGAGCUGGUGGUGGCAUGCAGGUUUAACCCUCCUCCUAGUUCUUGUCCUUCCUCGCUCAUUUAACCAACUGACUGCUUAUGGAAUGCCAGGCAUUAUGUAAGGUGCUAGAGAGUCAACAGCAAUAAAAACAGUUUCUGCUUGGAGGCCUUAUAAUCUAGUAUGGAAGGCAGACAAGAAGAGGAAAGUAUAAUAAGUACUGGUAUAGGGAUUUCAGCCUUUCUGUCCGCAUGCCCAGUACCUGAUCUGUUCAUAAUGGAUCCUUGUAAGUGAGUCUUGCAUCUUGGGGCUAUUUUGAAUCAUAUUCUGGGAAACUCUCCACCAUUCUUUCAGGAUACCAGAAUGUCAAGAACUCAAGGAUCAUUGACACCCUGUGAUCAAGUCUUUCAUCUUACCUAUUAGGCAAUUUCAUUGUAUUAAGAUCAAUUUGGUGGAAAUUUAUCUAUGAAAGUUCAGCAGUAACACUACAUUUCUGAUGAAGUCUUGACAGUUUAAAGUUGACAAUAAAUGCCAAAAGCUUACCUUUUUAAAACUCUUCAAUAGGCCUAACCUAUGUAAAGCAUUGCAAAUAAAGUUAAAGUUGACGUCAACGUUUGUAUAGACAAUAAUAAUGGGCUAGGUUGGCAUUCACUGUAAGUCAAAGAAUAAAAUGUGGUAUUCUCCAAAAAGGUGAAAACCUAAAGAACUGACGGUAGAGGAGAGGACAUUAUUUUUACUAGAAUAUGUAGAAAAAUGCAAUUCAAAACUACUGGAAAAGUCACUGUAGAAGACUAAUAUGGCAUUUAGUUAGAAGCUCUGGGCAAAAAGAACCAAAAUCCAGAUAAUUAUGAUAGACAUGUUUCUAAUAAUUUUAUUAUCAUGAGUCCUGAAUAUCAACUAUGUAUUCAUAUUGAAGCUGAAGUUCUGAUGAGAUAGUGGCAUCUUCAUUGGUAAUUGGGCCCGAUGAAGACACAAUGUCUUGUAUCAUAAAUUAGUACUUAAUUGACUGAUUUUUCUUUGUUUCUAAUAAAGAAACAUGAAAGAAAAGACAUACAGAAGGCUUGAAAAGGGUAGAAAGCUCAUUCAAUGUAAAUAUACAGCAUCUAAGAGAAAAGUGAAGAGAUUUAAAUGAAGCUGUCCAGCAGGAGGAAGCAAUAGACUUGUGGAGGCAGACAUGCUUGUUAAGAAGCUCAGUAUGUGAGAGCUCUGAGCGGAUUGGUUCAGUGGAUAAUGGGAAGCCGAUAUUGAGUGAAGAUAAGCAUUAUUCAAGCUGUAAAUCAAGAAAAUUAAAAGACUCAGAAGGUACGGUUAAAAUAGCAGACUCUCUGGAACUGCGCUUCAUUGAGAGUGCCUGGAAACUACUGUCUGCUGGCACGGUUGGCUCUAUUAGUGUGGGGAAAAUGAUUUGUGCUGAUAGUAAUUUCAUCAGAAGAUCUCAGUGCUUCACAAACAUUUCAAAAUGUUCUCCAUGGAUUUUUGAUGCAAGUUCACC